GACGCUGAAAAUAUUUGUCAUCUCUAGUUAGAAGCUUGGAGGUUCUAUUUGUGACUGCUAACAAGGUACUAAGAUUCAUCUGUGAACCAGGUUCACUCUUUGUUUGAAUUCUUGUUGCUACAUAGAUAAUCAGAAGUGAAACACAUAAGCCUAUUAUGGAAUAAAACUGCUUAAGCGAAAGCGUAUAAAAAAGAAUGCUAAUGAUGGUGCAAGGUACAAGAUCAUGAUAUUAAAGAUCUCCUACAGAAGAUCUUUUUCCUUGUAGAUCAGAGAGGCAACAAGGAAACCCUAUGCGAAAUAAAGCUUGGAAUAAAAGGCAAAAGUGAGAAAAGAUUUUGCAGCUUUUGUGAAGAUUCAUACACUGGUCUAGAAGUAAGAAAGCAUAAGCACAUUAUAUUAAUGACUAACAAAUGACAUCUAUUGACAAACUAAAA
Molecule: long non-coding RNA, 434 nt
Filed under: Capsicum annuum
Lineage: Eukaryota; Viridiplantae; Streptophyta; Magnoliopsida; Solanales; Solanaceae
Description: long non-coding RNA (CANN_LNC005442)
Source: RNAcentral